GCGUCAAAAUGGGCCGUUCUUGAGGGCGUUCCUUCCUAGUUGGCUUUGGCUGGAGUGGGAAUCAGCUGUUAGCAGGCUAGCUUGUCGUCUCAAAUCUGAGCAUUAUACAUUUCUGUGUACGGUGAACGACCAUACCUAGAACAUUUGCUGAGACGAAGGAAUUCGGCAUAUUCUCUGACUGCAAUGCAGCGCAAGAAUAGCUAGAUCAAGUGGACCGGCAUAAAUAGCCAGUUAGCUGACGCCUGGAUUAGCGUUAGCCGGGUGUAGGGCUAGCUAGCAAACUACGUCUGGUUUAUGAAGACCAGAUUUAUGUUUUUUAACGUAUCAGCUGUCUAGCAGCUUCAGCUAGGCUUUUUAAAACCGAGUAAAACGUGUUGCUAUUAACGGUUAAACCGGUGUCCUAGCGUUGCCAGCCUUUGGAUUAGUUUAGUGGUCAAGCCUGUAUCUGGCCGACGUAUCAAUGCGCUACUCGCCAUGCCUUUGCGCACACGCCCUGAACAAGACAGGGAUUCAACUGUUCAGUUUGAAUUGUGUGUUGUAGAUAUGAACCCCGAUAUGUGGCUGCUACUCAUGUAUUUAAAAUUGAAUGUGUCAUUUUGAGACCAGACAUCACUGACAGUCUGAUGUUAUAGACGAGUGGACGGUUCUUUCAGAUAUCUGGGGUGUAGUCAGUAGUAGGACUUUAGCAAAUUGUUUAAUCAUGGGGGCUACAGUGUCAUGCUGCAUGUCCCCCGGCGGGAGUCCAAAGCUUGCAAGGAGAGCAGUCGAGCUCGACGACUACCCAAUAACCACCACUGGCGACGACGUAAGCGAGGACACGGGCACCUAUCUGCAGCACAUCAGCGAUAGAGAGGUCCCGGAUGAAUUGGCGCAGGAGUCGAACCCAUCCGAUAAUGCCAGAGCCAGCACAAUCUUCCUCAACAAGUCUCAGACUGAUGUGCGGGAGAAAAGGAGAAGUAACUACUUAAGUAAUCAUCACACGUCUCCUGGGUUAUCUAAAAAGUACAGCUCCUGCUCCACAAUAUUCCUUGACGAUAGCACGGUCAGCCUGCCCAACCUGAAGAGUACGGUCAAAUGUGUCACGUUGGCGAUAUACUAUCACAUAAAAAACAGGGAUUCAAACCGUUCUCUGGACAUUUUUGAUGAGAAGAUCCACCCAUUAACGAGAGAGAAGGUUCCAGAAGACUACUACAGCGUGGACCCUGAACACAAGCUCAUCUACCGCUUUGUCCGCACGCUCUUCAGCUCGGCCCAGCUGACUGCUGAGUGUGCCAUCGUCACCCUGGUGUACCUGGAGCGUCUGCUGACCUACGCUGAGAUGGACAUCUGUCCCUGCAACUGGAAGCGGAUCGUACUGGGAGCCAUCCUGCUGGCGUCCAAGGUGUGGGACGACCAGGCCGUGUGGAACGUAGACUACUGCCAGAUCCUCAAGGACAUCACCGUGGAGGACAUGAAUGAGAUGGAGAGGCACUUCCUGGAGCUGCUUCAGUUCAACAUCAACGUGCCGGCCAGCGUCUACGCCAAGUACUACUUUGACCUGCGCUCCCUGGCCGACGACAACAACCUCAACUUCCCCCUGGAGCCACUUGACAACCAGCGAGCCACUAAACUGGAGGUGAGGAGAGCUUCUAGGACGGCAGGAAUGAAAACACUGCUACUUGGCAAGAGGGGAGUUUAAUGGUUGUCCUGGUUGACUUGGUCCUGUUCAGAAACAACCCCAGCCCCUACUCCCCUACUAUCAUGUAGUUACUAAAAAAUUGUUCCCAGGCUAUCUCUGGGCUGUAAUAAGUGUUGUUGCGUUCCCAGGCUAUCUCCAGACUGUGUGAGGACAAAUACAAGGAUCUGGGCAAGGUGACCAUAAGGAGGUCCCUCAGCGCAGACAAUCUGGUGGGUGUCCGAACCACCCACGCCGUGCUGUCCUAAAGCUGGACCUGCUACACACACAGGACAGGCUGAGGAUGCACCGAAGGUCUUCCUAAACUAGACACUCACUGGCACCAUCGACACACACAGCUGGUCCCAAAUCACGCCCAGAUCUGUAUGGUGGCAGCUCCACCACUGAUACUUACUCAUACACUCCAGAUCUGCAAGAAGGGUUGGAGUGUCUGACACCACACACUGACCAUGGUGAGGAAGCCUCUAACUACCCUGUGGUGUAGUUUGGCACACGGACAGAUGGUGAUGUAGGGUGGUUUUCUUUGCUUACUGUGUAGGCCCUUUAGCUGGGAAAUGUAUCGGUUUUUAAUUGAACAUAUUUUCAGUUGCUGUUUAUUUCAAAUAAACCGUAAUAAACUAUCAAAUCUG
Molecule: non-coding RNA, 2304 nt
Organism: Oncorhynchus mykiss (rainbow trout)
Lineage: Eukaryota; Metazoa; Chordata; Actinopteri; Salmoniformes; Salmonidae
Source: RefSeq, a predicted model, not a curated record